CAAGAGUAAAAGAGUGCAAAGCAGAGAAACUACAAUGAUGCAGUAAACAUUAGCAGCAUUUUUUCUCUGAGGGGAUGACUUUCGGCGACAGGCAGUGGAGAUUCUAUGAUGGAUAUGACUCAUGGACCUGCAAUGAAAGCAGUUUGUAUUACUUGGACAAUUGAGCCAUAAGCAUGAUCUGAAAUGCAUUCAUGAGAUCUUUUUUAUUUGCCAAUGUUGAUGCCUAGUAUUCUCUUGAUUCUUGAAAUAAUAUCAAGGUCUGACAAGGCUUUUGCUUUUGGGCGAAGGCAGGUACAUUU
Molecule: long non-coding RNA, 299 nt
Filed under: Nicotiana benthamiana
Lineage: Eukaryota; Viridiplantae; Streptophyta; Magnoliopsida; Solanales; Solanaceae
Description: long non-coding RNA (NBEN_LNC001730)
Source: RNAcentral